GAUGAACGCUGGCGGCGUGCCUAAUACAUGCAAGUCGAGCGAACGGACGAGAAGCUUGCUUCUCUGAUGUUAUCGGCUGACGUGUUAUUAACACGUGUAUAACCUACCUAUAAUUCUGGUAUAACUUCGUGAAACCGUAUCUAAUACCGGAUAAUAUUUUGAACCGCAUGGUUCAAAAGUAAAAUACGGUCUUUCUGUCUCUUAUAGCUGUUUCCGCGCUGCAUUAGCUAGUUGGUAAGGUAACGGCUUACCAAGGCAACGAUGCAUAGACGACCUGAGAGGGUGAUCGGCCACACUGGAACGGAGACACGGAAAAGACUCAUACGGGAGGCAGCAGUAGGGAAUAUUCCGCAAUGGGCGAAAGAAUGACGGAGAAAAGGCGAGUGAGUGAAGAAGGUAGGAGGAUCGUAAAAAUCUGUUAUGAGGGAAGAACAGAUGAAGAAGGAAAUGUGAAGAGAAUGACGGUAACGAAAAAGAAAGCAACGGCUAACUACGUG
RNAcentral lists this ribosomal RNA (497 nucleotides) under uncultured bacterium. RNAcentral's name for it is "partial 16S ribosomal RNA". It matches the Rfam family "Bacterial small subunit ribosomal RNA", at positions 28 to 507 of the family's 1533-position model. The record is from RNAcentral.